CUGUGGUUGGCGUGACACCAGCGGUUCCUCCUACCGCUGGAAACGGCAGAUGGUAAACAUGACCUCAGUGCCUGAGCAGGACCACACCACAGGAAGCUCUUGGGGACAUGUUAUGCAUGUAAACGAUGGAUCAUCAUCAGCGGCUAAACUGGAGUAUUAUGUUGAGCAGCGGGCAGCUCUGGGGUGUCAGAUGAGCUUCUGGUACAAUAUUUAUGAUGAAAAGUCAUCGUUACCAUUAAGCCUUUAUGUAAAAAUGGUCAGAGGCUCAGCUGAGAAAGACUUGCUGGAGAUUUCUAAAAAACAGACAGACAGUUGGGAGAAUGCCACAGUCUUCAUUGGUAAUCAGCCAGGAGG
Lates calcarifer (barramundi perch) is the source of this 354-nucleotide long non-coding RNA. RefSeq lists it as uncharacterized. NCBI's taxonomy places the organism in Eukaryota, Metazoa, Chordata, Actinopteri, Centropomidae. The transcript is spliced from 3 exons. The record is from RefSeq and is a predicted model, not a curated record.